This 386-nucleotide RNase P RNA is filed under the name Nevskiaceae bacterium. Its description in RNAcentral is "RNase P RNA component class A". It matches the Rfam family "Bacterial RNase P class A". From Rfam's summary of the family: Ribonuclease P (RNase P) is a ubiquitous endoribonuclease, found in archaea, bacteria and eukarya as well as chloroplasts and mitochondria. Lineage: Bacteria; Pseudomonadati; Pseudomonadota; Gammaproteobacteria; Nevskiales; Nevskiaceae. The record is from RNAcentral.
GGAGCCGGCCAGGCAAUCGCUGCCGCGCGCCUUCAGGCGCGGUGGAGGAAAGUCCGGGCUCCGGCAGAUCGAGGUGCCAGGUAACGCCUGGGGGGCGCGAGCCCACGGAAAGUGCAACAGAAAGCAAACCGCCUAAGCCCGACAAGGGCCGGUAAGGGUGAAACGGUGCGGUAAGAGCGCACCGCGGCCUUGGUAACAAGGACGGCACGGCAAACCCCACCUGGAGCAAGGCCAAAUAGGGAGGCAGCGCCCAGCACAGCUACUGUGAGAGGGCGCAGCGCCGGUCUGCGCGCGUCUCCGGGUAGGCCGCUUGAGGUCCGCGGCGACGCGGAUCCCAGAGGAAUGAUUGUCCUCGACAGAACCCGGCUUAUCGGCCGGCUCCCGCC